Molecule: ribosomal RNA, 460 nt
Filed under: uncultured bacterium
Lineage: Bacteria
Description: partial 16S ribosomal RNA
Rfam family: Bacterial small subunit ribosomal RNA
Source: RNAcentral
CCUACGGGUGGCAGCAGUGAGGAAUAUUGGUCAAUGGGCGCGAGCCUGAACCAGCCAAGUCGCGUGAAGGAUGACUGAUCUAUGGGUUGUAAACUUCUUUUAUAAGGGAAUAAAGUGAGGCACGUGUGCCUUUUUGUAUGUACUUUAUGAAUAAGGAUCGGCUAACUCCGUGCCAGCAGCCGCGGUAAUACGGAGGAUCCGAGCGUUAUCCGGAUUUAUUGGGUUUAAAGGGAGCGUAGUUGGGUUGUUAAGUCAGUUGUGAAAGUUUGUGGCUCAACCGUAAAAUUGCAAUUGAUACUGGCAGUCUUGAGUACAGGUGAGGUAGGCGGAAUGCGUGGUGUAGCGGUGAAAUGCGUAGAUAUCACGAAGAACUCCGAUUGCGAAGGCAGCUUACUAAACUGUAACUGACAUUGAUGCUCGAAAGUGUGGGGAGCAAACAGGAUUAGAUACCCCUGUAGUC